CCUACGGGAUGCUGCAGUGGGGAAUAUUGGGCAAUGGAGGAAACUCUGACCCAGCAAAGCCGCGUGAAUGAUGAAGGUCUUCGGAUUGUAAAGUUCUUUUCUAAGGGAAGAAGAAAGUGACGGUACCCUAGGAAUAAGCCUCGGCUAACUACGUGCCAGCAGCCGCGGUAAGACGUAGGAGGCAAGCGUUAUCCGGAAUGACUGGGCGUAAAGGGUGCGUAGGUGGUUUGACAAGGUGGUAGCGUAACUCCGGGGCUCAACCUCGGCACUACUACCAAAACUGUCGGACUUGAGUGCAGGAGGGACAAAUGGAAUUCCUAGUGUAGCGGUGGAAUGCGUAGAUAUUAGGAGGAACACCAGUGGCGAAGGCGAUUUGCUGGACUGUAACUGACACUGAGGCACGAAAGCGUGGGGAGCAAACAGGAUUAGAUACCCCUGUAGUC
This 443-nucleotide ribosomal RNA is filed under the name uncultured bacterium. RNAcentral's name for it is "partial 16S ribosomal RNA". It matches the Rfam family "Bacterial small subunit ribosomal RNA", at positions 338 to 795 of the family's 1533-position model. The record is from RNAcentral.